This 1641-nucleotide unclassified non-coding RNA is filed under the name Hevea brasiliensis (rubber tree). The record is from RNAcentral. Lineage: Eukaryota; Viridiplantae; Streptophyta; Magnoliopsida; Malpighiales; Euphorbiaceae.
AGGCAUUUGACCCUUCUUCACCAUAACCACAAAAAAUUGAAUCUUUAAAAAUGAGGUUGGAAAUGGACUUCGCCACUUUCCUCCUCUUCUUGAUCUCAGUCCUCAUCAUCAUCUGCUUCUUCUUCAUCUUUUCUACUUCUCCUUCUGCAUCCAAAACUCCAUGUCCAGAAUCAUACCCUAUAAUCGGGAACCUCCCAGGUUUCCUCCGCAACCGCCACCGCUUCCACGACUGGGUCACAGACAUGCUCUCCCAGACCCCAUCAUCAACCGUUCAAGUUAACUCUUUCUUCUCCCAUGGAAUCUGUACUGCAAAUCCUAUCAACGUAGAGCACCUCCUUGUCACCAACUUCUCCAACUACGUCAAGGGCUCUCGCUUUCUCAACGUCCUCUAUGAACUGCUUGGCCAUGGGAUCUUCAACGUUGAUGGUCAUCUCUGGACGUUGCAACGCAAGAUUGCUAGCCAUGAAUUCAACACCAAAUCUCUCAAACACUUUAUAUCAGAUAUAGUCAAAUCUGAAAUGGCCAACACCCUCUUGCCUAAUCUUUCCAAGGCUUGUGAUGAGAAUUCAGUCUUUGAUCUUGAGCAAGUGUUAGGAAAGUUCACUUUCAGUACCAUUUGCAAAGUUGCAUUUGGAAUAGACCUUCAAACCAUGCCAUAUUUGCCUUUUGCUAAAGCUUUUGAUGAUGCUGUAGAGAACUGCUUUUCAAGAUUCUUGUCUCCCUUUCCACCAAUUUGGAAGCUCAAAAGAUUGUUCAAUAUUGGAUCAGAGAAGCGAUUCAAAGAAGACAUUAAAACGAUCAAUGAGUUUGCUAUGGAGAUCAUGAAGUCUAAGCAACAAGAAGAGAAUAGCAGUGAAAGGGUAGCCAAGAAUCAAGAUUUGUUAUCAAGAUUUAUGCUCCUGAGCUCCAAUCUGGAAUUUCAGGAUCAAGAACACAAGACCAAGUUCUUGAGAGACAUAAUCAUAAGCUUUGUACUCGCUGGCAAGGACACAACGUCAACGGCCUUGACAUGGUUUUUCUGGUUAGUUGCCGGCAACCCUCGUUGCGCACACUUGAUUUAUCAAGAAUUAUCCGAAGUGGCAUCUCCGCCGGAUGCGGAGGCGGUACCAGAAGCGAGGACUUUUAGCUAUGAUGAGUUGAAGAAGCUUCAUUAUUUGCAUGCAGCUCUAUCAGAGUCGAUGCGGUUGUUUCCACCCGUGGCCAUCAAUUCAAGAUUAACGAUAGAUAAUGAUGUUUUGCCUGAUGGGACCCGUGUGGGGAAAGGGGGGUUCGCUGACUAUUCUGCUUAUGCAAUGGGUAGGAUGGAGAGAGUGUGGGGCCAGGAUUGUAGAGCGUUCAAGCCCGAGAGGUGGUUGGAUAUAGAUAGAAAAUAUCAGCCGUGCGAUCAAUUUCGAUUCCCUGUGUUUCAUUGUGGGCCAAGGACAUGUUUGGGGAAGGACUUGGCUUCCAUACAGAUGAAGGCAAUAGCUGCGGCUGUGAUGUACGAGUUCGAAAUCGUGCCUGUUGAUGGGGGUGCUAGCGCAGAGAAGAUGAUGAAUCCACCUUAUAUUACAACGUUGCUUCUGAAAAUGAAAGGGGGCUUCCCUAUUCGGCUAAAGAGAAGAGACAGAGACGGCUAUAUAUAAUCAAUAAAUUUUUUUU